GAUUCUAAGAACUGUUCGGCUGAGUGACCAUGGUGACAGUGGUGUCAGCCUGCACACUUUUUCCAGCAGAGUAAAAGGACUAUGCAUCUAACAGAUGCAUUUGGAAACAAAGACCUAAGACCACAAAAUCAUCUACAUAUUCGGGUAUUUCAUUUGUGAAGGGUGUUUCAUCGUUCACUGUUUACUGUUUCGGCAGGUCCUACUCGUAGAGACAGGUACUGGGGAGGAUUCUGUUGCCACUCCAUAGGUAUUUCCGUCCAAGUCAAAAGGAAUUUCUAAAGCUUUUGUGGUGUUUGGCAAAGGUGAUGAACAUUCUUCUUUUCCUUUUCAUGGUGGCUUUAUCAGAAAGUGCCUCCUAGGACAUAGAAGGUAUGGAAAGUAACAAGUGAAAUAUCUGGGGAUUCAUGCAAAAUCACCAUUAUAAACAAGAGUGUUGCCCUGUGGGGGAAAAAAAAUCAACCUGAAGGAGGUCCACUGCCCGGGAAGAAUAUAGAAAGAGACUGAGAGGCAAGUGUGGUAAGGCCCACCAAGUGUUCUAGGGAUGAUAUUGUCCACUAAAGACUUCAACAUUUCCACUUCCAGUCCUAUUGGAAAUCCCACUUAGGAUCGAGAUGGCCGCAGAAGGCAAGAGCUUAGCCGUUACUACUGAUGCUACUGUCAAGCCCGUUCCUAGGAGUUUGGACAUUUUAAGACACUGUAACCUGAGGCUGAGACAUAACUAAUUUAUCUGAAUCCUGCUGUUCAGAUCCUACCUUGCAAGAUAAACUAUGAUUUCCCUCUCUUUAAAGCCCUUUUGCAGUAAGAAAGAAUUGGGUAUAAGGGCUCCCCUUUCUGAUUUUCAGUGCCGUAACUUCUCAGUCAGUGAGUUCGCUUUCUUAACUUGUACAUCAAUCUUAAAAACUAGGCUCAUGUGAGUGUCCCCCGAGAAAGGGACACUUCCUCAAGAAGCUGAAAAAUCAGCUUCCUAGAGGCUAGUGGACAGGGAGAAACAGUGAUAAAUUAAUCGAGGUCCAAAUGACUACUGCAUGAAGCUUACAGUAACCGCAUUAUUAUUAAAACGGGAUUACAAUUAAUCCCCAAAGCCAGCAGUUCAUGGAACUUUUCGGACUCUUUAGAAACACUACCUCAUAAUGUGCUGGGUAUAUCAAAGGAGGAGAACAGCAAAAAUCAUUAAUGGGAAACUUUCAGAAAGCAUUCCUGUCUUUCUCCCCUGUGCAUAGCACUGUGGAAAAUUCUGGGAAAUACUUUGAGAAAAUAAUCAGGAACCUAAAAUGCAAUGAGUUAGCUCUGAGGGCGAUGGAGCAUGCAUAUGGCCAAGUCUUCCUGGGGGUUCAUUAAAGUUUUGUUUGUUUGUUUGGUUGGUUGGUUGGUUUUGUUUUCCCAAACAGAGUUUGUCUGUGUAGAUCUGGUUUUACUGGAACUCACUCUGUAGACCAGGAAGGCCUUGAACUCAGGAUCUGCCUUCAUCUGCCCCCUGAGUGCUUAGGAUUAAAGGCACCACUACUGGGCUCAUGAAAGUUUUUCAAGCACGUUUUUUAAAACAAUUUUCUUUUCUUUUUUUUUUUUUUUUUUUUUUUUUUUUUGGUGUGUGUUUAAAUUGAAAGUUGAAGGGAAAGAAGAAUUUUGAUUAGCAAGACAAAAUGGCCGAAUCCGUAGAUCGAUUAAAAUGAUCAAUGGUAGUAAAAGAGAAACCUGUGCCCAUUAAAAGAUGGGGUGAGAAGUACGCCUGUGGCCUUUCCUGCUAAAUGGUGACCAGCAUUGUGAGUGAGCAUCUCAUCAGAAGUUCUCGAGUGCUAUCUGACUCCAAUUCCUAUUUCCAUAUGGCUGGGUCACAAAUCAUUAAAGAACAGGGGGUGAGCGUGAGGGAUCUUAAGAACUCGAUUAUAAGCUUUGUCAUGGGCAAGCACAGGUCCAAGAACUUGAGGAUGGAGAAAUGUUUCCUGUUCAGUUCAUCUCGACGGGCAGAGUAGGACAUGGAUGUAUCUAGUGAGUUCACCACUACUGCCAAAAACUGAGCUAAACUAAGGCAAGAGCUGUACCAGUCAGAGGGACCAGCUGAGGGACAUUUUUCUGGACGCAGACAGGAUGAGGACUGACAACCAGUUGAGCGGAAGAGGAGAAAGCUUUGACUUCCACUUGAAAAUGUAGCUGGAAGGCCCUGCCGUACGCAUGUCUCUUAGAGACAUUAGACUGAAGGGCUUUGUGUCCCAGUCUAGAGUAGUAUCUAACAGAAGAGGUGCAUUUGAACCUGAGCUGAAGGGAGAUUUAUAAUAACAUCAGAUCUGGCCGCUACCAAGAUGGAGACUAACUGAUGCGGUCUACAAAGGAGGCUGAGAGAAGUGAAAACAGAGUUAUGGUUGCUGUUUUUUCCUCUGUCCUCCUCUCCUCCCUGAUCCCCCAUAAGGGUUUCAGAGCUGUGCUAUUACCGGUAUUAGUAAAGUGCAUGUUCCGGGCUUCAGAAUUUAUUUUUCAACACGCCCAAUUGUCUUGAGAAUCCAUCUGCCUAGACCCCAUUCUGGUCCUUCCUUGGGCUCGAUGAUUGCCUAUGGAUUUGACUAUAAAUUGCAUACUAAUGACUUCUGAUGGUUGCUGUUACCCAAGCUAAGAAUUACGUCCAUUCUACAAAAUCACUAUGCAGGGCCUAUGUUUAAUGAAAGGAACCAAAGGAUAUGUAAUCCCUUGAUAAUUUAUUUCUGUGGUACUGAACAUUGAACCUAAGACAUCGUGUAUGUAAGUACGUGUUCUACCACUGAGCUAAAUCUCCAGCCCUGUCCUGGUAAUGCCCAUCACUACAGCCCAACAGUGGCAGGCAUUCUUGGGGAAGAAGAAAAAGAAACUCUGUCCCGAUCUUCCCUCGGCGUUACCAAAUGGAAAGGUACUCCUCCUACGUACCUGCCCCAACAAAAGGCCGGUUAAAACCAGCACCUAGUAUUAGGUCGUCUGUUGUUGACUUUAAAGUAAUGUAACAGAGCUCAGGAAGAGAGGAGAAGGAAGUGGAGAGGAUUGUUAUAUAUAAACAAACUAGGCAUGAAUUGAUCAUUGUUCACAGCUCUCGGAGUUACCUGUGUAUACACUUUAGAUUUCUGUAAUAAAAAGUUUACUCUUUUAAAAUACCAGAAAUUAUGAUCAAGGAUCAUACCUACAUUCCUGUUCUGCAUAAAUUCCAUUUCUAAGGACAGGACAUGACACAGAGUAAAUAACAAUUUUUACCUUUGGAUUUGCCAAUAGUCUCAAGUUAUCGCUCUUCGCUUAAGGCAUUUUUAUCAUUCCAAUUAAUCCGACAUCAUUCAACACAUUCAUUAACAUUAUACUUACUACAUCUUCCAAAUCAUAAUUAAUAGAAACAAGACCGAGUAUUUUACGGUAGUAUAAAUCACUGGGAAAGCCUUCUCAAUUAUAUAGUUGAUGAAAAGCAAUAAAUGAUAAUAAUCCUGCAAAUUCAUCUCACGAUACUCGUCUACAGACCUCUUAAAGUUCAUUUGUCUCCCGCAAAUCCCUGCAUAGCACACGGAAAAUGCCUCUAGUAUUUCAGAAGCCAAUACUGAAAAGAGAAAGCCAAGUGACAUUUAUGCCUAAUUUGGCAUCUAAUUUAUUGAGAGGGAGACAUUUUUCACAAGAUAUUUUACAAAUACUACAGCCUGAAGUCAUCAACUCAUUUCACCAUUUAAAAACAAAUCAGAAAAAAGAUAUUUUUCAAGGACGUUAUUUUUCUUUUUGUACAAAUAAAAAAAGUUCCUAAACCUCA
Long non-coding RNA from Rattus norvegicus (Norway rat), 3745 nucleotides. RefSeq lists it as uncharacterized. NCBI's taxonomy places the organism in Eukaryota, Metazoa, Chordata, Mammalia, Rodentia, Muridae. The record is from RefSeq and is a predicted model, not a curated record.